RNAcentral lists this long non-coding RNA (1625 nucleotides) under Setaria viridis. Its description in RNAcentral is "long non-coding RNA (SVIR_LNC010631)". The record is from RNAcentral. Lineage: Eukaryota; Viridiplantae; Streptophyta; Magnoliopsida; Poales; Poaceae.
GAUAAGACAUCCAUUUAUACUGGUGAGGUCAAGGUCUCUAGAAGCAAAGUCAUUACAAAGAUUGAUGAAGUCCUCUGUGAUAAAAUGCCAACAUUUCUUAAUAAAAACCCCCCAUUGAAUCCAUCAAGACUAGGUGCAUGAUCAGCUGGGAUGUCACUUAGGACAGCCGCAAUUUCCUUAGCAAAAAAAGGGACAUCUAGGUUAGGGAGAAUGGCAUGCUGGAGAAGACUUGCAAGAUCAUAGUGAAUGUUAGACAAUUGAGAGAUUCCUAAUCAUUCCUUGUAGGAGGCCAAGAGAACUCUAGCUUUCUUGUCAUGAUCAGCUAUGACAGUUCCAUCUGGUAAAGUUAAUUCUGAAAUGUAUUUCUCCUGUAGGAGUAUGUAGUCAUGGCUUGAAAGAACUUAGUGUUUUCAUCCCCAAAAAUGACCCAUCUAGAGGUAUUUCUCUAUUUCCAGUAAAUUUCUUUUUUGCAACACGAAGAGGUCUUUGGUUCUGAAGUCCAUCCAACAUGGCUUGAACAUAAUAGAAAUGGUCCAUCCAGCAUGGCUAGUCCAUCAAACAUGACCGGGCGUGACAUAAGAGGUAUCAGAGCUAUGUCCACCGUAGUACGCAAAGCUAGAUAGAAAUGGUUGACGUUAAGGUUAUACUUCUAUCCUAUUUUGAAUUUUUUUCAUCCCUUGACCUUUUACCUCCCUUUUUACACUCUCAACUCACAUACUUUACUUUGUUCAUCUAAAAAGAUAUGUUUCUCCCUCACUCUUGAUAUUCUUUAGUUACUAACUUUCUCCGUGACUAAGAAGGUGCUACCAAAAAAGCUUGAGAAUAUUUUGCAACAACACAUCGCCAUCACUUGAAGAACUGCGAGAUUGAAGAUGAAGAUCCUUCAAUGGAAGCAAGCUUCACCAACAACAAUGACGAUCCAAUAUCAUCUAACUCUAAGCUCUCAGUAGUUUUUAGUCCCUUGAGUUAUUAAGAAGCCUCAGCUAAGUUUUCAUUUACCGAUAGAUUAACAAUGUUAAGUGUUAACUGCUAGUGUGCUCUUGUAAGGACGUGUGCCAUGUUAGUGUGAUCUCUUGUUCUAGUUGUAGGACUGUUAUUAUGAACUAUGUGAUUUGGUUCUUUGUAAUGAGUGUUGAUGUGUUGUGUGACUUUUUUCCACAAUGGCAUCAAUUAAUUUUUUAAUUAUUUACUUAUAUAUAGUUAGUUGGGUUCUUUCUUCCUCUGAUCCAAGUAUCCUUUUUCCAUUCCCUCCAUUAUUGCCCCCUCUCUAUCCCGGUCAUGAUGAAGUCACUCGAGGAAUCCAUAUUCACCAAAGAAUGACUUGGAAUUCAGAAGGCCCUUGUUAAGAGGGGUAGUAACAGGUUGAGUACUCUCUCAUGUCGAGGAAAGUUGCAUGAACAAAUUUGAGGGACGUGAAGAAAAAAAUUAGGAUGAAAAUACGAUGAAUGUUACAAUUGGGGAACCUCACAUGGAAAACCACCUCAAGGAGAAUUAGUGUUUUGGCACCAUCAUCAAUGAGCUAUCAAUUUGAAAUUGAGGUUCACCUUUAACUUGGAAUUAUGGCUUGACAAAAGCAACAUACAACAACAUGAAGAUGAAGUAUGAUGAUGUCUACAAGAACAAAC